This 153-nucleotide transfer RNA is filed under the name Candidatus Woesearchaeota archaeon. Its description in RNAcentral is "tRNA-Ser". Lineage: Archaea; Nanobdellati; Candidatus Woesearchaeota. The record is from RNAcentral.
GCCGAGAUCGCAUAACCUGGUAGUGCGCCAGCCUUGAGAGCUGGUUUCCGAAAGGAUAUCUGGGUUCAAAAGAAGCCUUUUCUUGUAAGAAAAGCCUUCAGGGAAAAGAACACCCUGAAGAAAGAAAAGGAACUGAAAGUCCCAGUCUCGGCG